Molecule: non-coding RNA, 127 nt
Organism: Podarcis lilfordi (Lilford's wall lizard)
Lineage: Eukaryota; Metazoa; Chordata; Lepidosauria; Squamata; Lacertidae
Source: the annotation of a GenBank genome assembly
AGUCCAGUAGCACCUUAGAGACCAACUACAUUUGUUCUGGGUAUAAGCUUUCGUGUGCAUGCACACUUCUUCAGAUAGCUUCAGAUAGCAGAACAAACUAAGCUGGUCUCUAAGGUGCUACUGGACU